This is a long non-coding RNA of Gymnodraco acuticeps, 827 nucleotides long. RefSeq lists it as uncharacterized. The record is from RefSeq and is a predicted model, not a curated record. NCBI's taxonomy places the organism in Eukaryota, Metazoa, Chordata, Actinopteri, Perciformes, Bathydraconidae. The transcript has 4 exons.
AUGAAUGGUAGAGCUGCUCAGGACAUCUGGUGCAGCAAGUAAGAAAGUUAGUGAGGGAGAUAGAGAGGGAGAGGAAGCGCUCACAUGCUUUGCUCAGGAUGACUUUUACUCCACCAGGCAAAAGUUUUAAAGUGAAAGAAAAUGUCAGGUUUGGUGCAAAUCUACAGUCUAUGGUGCAAAUGCGUGCCGUGCAAAGUAGAAAGGGAAAGGACGUGCAAAGUUUGCGCAUGAAAGCCAGUGAUGAGGGUGUGCAGUGAAGACUUUCUGAUGAAGAGCAGGAUGGAGACUGACUGACAAACCGGGCUAAGGCUCACUGCAGGAAUGUCAGACUGCUUUCCACAAAAUUCACCAAACCUGACUCCUGAUGAGGAAGACACCUCAGCAAAGCUCAUCGGAUGGGUCCAGUAAUGACCUCAUCAUCAUGAGACCCAGAUGAGGUGGUGCUGCCCGUCACGGCCGGCAGCUGCUGCUUCCUGCCUGAGAAACAGAGAUGGGAGUCGCCUCAGGGAAUCUUUUCUCAAACAGUGAAAGGCUUUGAAGUGGUUUGAGGGUGCAGUAAGUAACGUUUUUUAAUCUGUUUUGUAAAAUAACUUUAUGAUGAAGACACAAGCUGUGAAAACCAGUUGAAAAAUGUAAAAUUAUUAAUAUUUGAUAACAGUCUACAGGCAUCCUUUCAAUGAAAUGGAUGAAAUUAGCAUUGAUAGAAUGUAAAUUAUCAAAGUGUAUGUAUUGAAGUAUAGUGUAUUUUAUUGUGUUCCUGUAUGUGUUGUAUCUUGAUAAUGCACUCUGUCUAUUAUGUCAUUAAUCAAAUAAAUACAUGAAAUCCA